GACGAACGCUGGCGGCGUGCUUAACACAUGCAAGUCGAACGGAAAGGCCCUGCUUUUGUGGGGUGCUCGAGUGGCGAACGGGUGAGUAACACGUGAGUAACCUGCCCUUGACUUUGGGAUAACUUCAGGAAACUGGGGCUAAUACCGGAUAGGAGCUCCUGCUGCAUGGUGGGGGUUGGAAAGUUUCGGCGGUUGGGGAUGGACUCGCGGCUUAUCAGCUUGUUGGUGGGGUAGUGGCUUACCAAGGCUUUGACGGGUAGCCGGCCUGAGAGGGUGGCCGGCCACAUUGGGACUGAGAUACGGCCCAGACUCCUACGGGAGGCAGCAGUGGGGAAUUUUGCACAAUGGGCGGAAGCCUGAUGCAGCAACGCCGCGUGCGGGAUGACGGCCCUCGGGUUGUAAACCGCUUUCGCCUGUGACGAAGCGUGAGUGACGGUAAUGGGUAAAGAAGCACCGGCUAACUACGUG
RNAcentral lists this ribosomal RNA (468 nucleotides) under uncultured bacterium. RNAcentral's name for it is "partial 16S ribosomal RNA". It matches the Rfam family "Bacterial small subunit ribosomal RNA", at positions 28 to 507 of the family's 1533-position model. The record is from RNAcentral.